This 870-nucleotide ribosomal RNA is filed under the name uncultured bacterium. RNAcentral's name for it is "bacterial SSU rRNA". It matches the Rfam family "Bacterial small subunit ribosomal RNA", at positions 96 to 953 of the family's 1533-position model. The record is from RNAcentral.
CGGCGGACGGCUGAGUAAUAUACAGGAACCUGCCCCUAGGUAGAGGAUAGUCCAGCGAAAGUUGGAGUAAUACUUUAUGGUCCCGCUCAACGCGCAAGCGCCUGAGCGGGUAAAGAGCUUAACCGCUCGCCAAGGGAUGGGCCUGUAUCCUAUCAGGUAGUUGGUAAGGUAAUGGCUUACCAAGCCUAUGACGGGUAGCUGAUCUUAGAGGAUGAUCAGCCAGAGGGGGACUGAGACACGGCCCCCACUCCUACGGGAGGCAGCAAUCAGGAAUAGUCGGCAAUGGACGAAAGUCUGACCGCGCGACGCCCCGUGUAGGAUUAAGCUUUUCGGAGUGUAAACUACUGUGGCAGGGGAAGAAGUCCCGAUGUAAGUCGGGAUUGACGGUACCCUGCUAGAAAGGAGCCGCUAACUGCGUGCCAGAAGCGUCGGUAAUACGUGGGCUCCAAGCAUUAUCCGGUUUUAUUGGGCGUAAAGGGUCGUGUAGGCGGCUUGAUAAGUUAUCUUUGAAAGUCCAAUGCUUAACAUUGAAAUUGGAGAUAAGACUGUCAAACUAGAGUUUUCUUUAGGGGGAUUGGAACUCAAGGAGGAGUAGUGAAAUGCGUUGAUAUCUUGGGGAACACCGAUGGCGAAGGCAAGUCUCUGGGAGAAAACUGACGCUGAGACACGAAAGCUAGGGGAGCGAAGCAGAUUAGAGACCUGCGUAGUCCUAGCUCUAAACGAAUGUCUGCUACCUGCAUGAUUUUGUAUUUAUACAAUUUCGUGUGGGAAAGGUAACCUGUUAAGCAGACCGCCUGGGGAGUACGACCGCAAGGUUAAAACUCAAGGGAUUGGCGGGGAGGCACACACCAGUGACAUGUGGUUCAUUCG